AUGCUGCACGAGAAGCCCGUCCAGAUUGGCCAACUGGCCGAUGAUGGAGAUGCGGCAAACAAGGCGUGGACAGGGGAGAAGAGGCGCCGCAACGUACCCCCGUCAUCAUCCGAUGCUCCUGCCACUGUCCAGGACCAUGGAGACAUGGAGGACACAAUCCAAGGGGGUCAAGAUCCGAUUCCUCAUGCAGCAGACAUGGAGCCGCUGCUCAGAACAGAUUCGGCGCAAGAAACAAGCCAGGAUUGCUUCGGGCCGGACGUCCUUAUCAGCGAGGAAGACGAAACCCGUUAUGCUCAACUUUUGCGUCCCAACAUUCCUCUUCCUCGUAUGGACCUGCCACUUUAUAUGACAUGGGAGGAAGAAGACAAGAUAGAAGCGCGCCUUGGACGCCUUCGCAUCACUUAUUACAAGGCUGUGAAGCCGGAGUGCGCCCGUGAACGUGAGCUUAAGGAACCAGAAGAAUACACUGAUGCUGAACUUGGUAAGGAGUUGUACUUUAAGCGGUUAGAGGAGGAUGAAAGUUUUGAGUGGUUCGUCCAUCCUGAUGAUACCUAUAAGGCUGGAUUGAAUGACUACCAACGGAUUGCCCCUCGUAAUUUUUGGUUUGACAAGGAUACUAGAGCAUGGAGGCAAGCAUUGAAUAUUGCAACUGGCUUUCCCCAUAUGACUGUUCGUUUAGCUGCUUUUGCUUAUAAUGAGUACAUUCUUGAGAUGGAUAAAGAUGCGUCCCUCAAGGACAUAGAUCUUCUCUAUUUCGAGAUCUGGAGGCGUGUCGCUAAGAAAAAUUUAAGUUAUAUGGAUGCUGUGAAGGAAGUAUAUGAAAUGGACAAGUUCGAUGUACACAAAAGGAGACUAGAUGGUGAACUGAAAGGGGUUCCUGCCAUCGCAACAAUAAAAGAAUACAUGCACUAUGUUGUCCGACAAGGUGGCAUUGACGCGAAGACCGAAGAGGAUAAAGCUCGGGAUGUGUUUAGGAAGUUAUCUGUCAGUAUGCAUAAAGCAAUGAACAUGGCUCAGUACGCUCAGAAAAAGUUGGAUUUAGCAGAUGAGCUGAAGUUGGACAAAGAGGAGGAAUUCUGGCUGGCGCUUUUCAAGAUCAGUAAGACCGAGAGUUUGCUGAUCGUGUCCAGAUGCGUCUGCCGCACGUGGCGCGCCGCGAUCGUCGACGCCCACGACGUCCUCCUCCCCUGCUACUUCCCCCGACACGUAUUUCCUGGCAUCUUCGUCACCAAGGUCGGAUGCCACACGGACGCCGCCUUCUUCGCCCCACCGCCGGGCACACGGGCCGCCGAUCGGUCCGACUUCUGGCGCCCCGUCUCCCUGCUCGACCGUGCUUCCGUGCUCCACUCAUGCAACGGCCUUCUCCUCCUCGAGGACCGGUGGAGAGGCUACUUAGUGUGCAACCCGGCCACGGCGCGGUUUGCUGACCUGACACUCCCAAAGAUGUCAUCGACAUGCCACGUCGACGUGAUGUUCCUCGCUUUCGACCCGGCCGUUUCCCUGCAGUAUGAGGUGUUCCUUUUUCAGGAGGAGUACCCGCCACGCGUUCCGGAACCACCUACUUGGGUCGACCUAGAGCAAACGUACUUGCCCAAUUUGUUUGAAGAAGAGCAAUUGUCCCAAGAUGAAGAUGAAAACACGGAUUUGGGCCAUGUCGAGCAACCGCAAGAGGAAGGUGUCGAGGAACAAAAAGAAAAGGUUGUGCCUUUGACAGUGUACUCCUCGCACACGGGGCACUGGGAGAACAGGGAGUUCACACCUGGAUGUUGUGCCCCGGGGCACCUCUACGACGCGGUGACCACUUCGCCCGACAGCUAUGAAAAGGUGUGGUCAUCCGAGUACUGGCACGGGUCACUCUAUGUAUAUUGCCACAACAGUGCCCUCAUGAUCUUACGACCCUCAAAGUGGACUUAUGAUAUGGCCCAGCUCCCCGGGGAACCCUGUGCUACAAGGGGAUUUUACUCACUACCCAAAAAUUCAGUCUUGGCAAGCUAUGAAAGAGGGAUUCACUGCGUGGCUUUCAACCAGCCGCAACUCAAAGUAUGGAAGCUAACCGAAUCGAUAGAUGGUCAACUAGGGUGGGCAUUGGCACACGAGGCCAGCCUCAACCCACAAGAUCAUAUAACUGACCAUCUUACAAUAGAGCCAAGGGUGAAAUGGGGAGUGGUUGAAAGUAGCGAUGAGCUAGUGAACUUGUUCGAAGACAGGUCCUGUGGAGAAAGCAUGUGCAGUGAGGAUUAUUGUCAUGAUGAUUAUAUCGAGGAUGAAAGCUACGAAGGUGUCAAAGAGGAGGAUGAGGGUCAAGAGGAGGAGGAAGAGGAGGGACAUGAAGUAGAAGAUGCUAGGAGUAUAGGUGGCUCUGAACAUUCCUGGAACUCUGACGAAGACAAUUUCAUUCAUGUAGAUGGGGACGUCGACCACCUUGGACCAUUGGCAUGGAGUUUCUGGAAUUUCUAUAGAAUCAUGGGAUUCCAUCCUCACAAGAAUGCCCUCAUCCUCUUACUCCACUCAAUGGUGGUAGUGUACCAUCUCGAUAUGUCGAGGAUGCAAUAUCUAGGCGAUAAGCACGAGCUCAUCAAAGACCACUUCCAACAAGCUUGUUGCGCCUACCGUUCCUUCCCUUACAGACCUUCCUAUGUAGAUGCGUUACCGACAGGAGAUUUGUCCUGA
Molecule: ribosomal RNA, 2670 nt
Filed under: Triticum aestivum (bread wheat)
Lineage: Eukaryota; Viridiplantae; Streptophyta; Magnoliopsida; Poales; Poaceae
Description: partial small subunit ribosomal RNA
Source: RNAcentral